This 680-nucleotide long non-coding RNA is filed under the name Mytilus galloprovincialis (Mediterranean mussel). Lineage: Eukaryota; Metazoa; Mollusca; Bivalvia; Mytilida; Mytilidae. The record is from RNAcentral.
AAAGGAAAUAGAAACCGAAUAAGGAAAAAGAAACCGAAUAAGGAAAUGAAAAUCAAAAAAGGAAAUAAAAACCGAAUAAGGAAUUGAAAAUCGAAAAAGGAAAUAGAAAACGAAUAAGGAAAUGAAAAUCGAAAAAGGAAAUAGAAACCGAAUAAGGAAAUGAAAAUCGAAAAAGGAAAUAGAAACCGAAAAAGGAAAUGAAAAUCGAAUAAGGAAAUAGAAACCAAAUAACGAAAAGGAAACCGAAUAAGGAAAUGAAAAUCAAAAAAGGAAAUAGAAACGGAAUAAGGAAAUGAAAAUCGAAAAAGGAAAUAGAAACCGAAUAAGGAAAUGAAAAUCAAAUAAGGAAAUAGAAACCGAAUAAGGAAAAAGAAACCGAAUAAGGAAAUGAAAAUCGAAAAAGGAAAUAGAAAACGAAUAAGGAAAUGAAAAUCGAAAAAGGAAAUAGAAACCGAAUAAGGAAAUGAAAAUCGAAUAAGGAAAUAGAAAACGAAUAAGGAAAAGACACUGAAUAAGGAAAUGAAAAUCAAAAAAGGAAAUAGAAACCGAAUAAGGAAAUGAAAAUCGAAAAAGGAAAUAGAAAAUGAAUAAGGAAAUGAAAUCGAAAAAGGAAAUAGAAACAGAAUAAGGAAAUGAAAAUCGAAAAAGGAAAUAGAAAACGAAUAAGGAAACGGGAAAAA